GACGAACGCUGGCGGCGUGCUUAACACAUGCAAGUCGAACGGAAAGGCCCUUCGGGGUACUCGAGUGGCGAACGGGUGAGUAACACGUGGGUGAUCUGCCCUGCACUUUGGGAUAAGCCUGGGAAACUGGGUCUAAUACCGAAUAGGACCGCAUGCUUCAUGGUGUGUGGUGGAAAGCUUUUGCGGUGUGGGAUGGGCCCGCGGCCUAUCAGCUUGUUGGUGGGGUAAUGGCCGACCAAGGCGACGACGGGUAGCCGGCAUGAGAGGGUGACCGGGCAAACUGGAGCUGGGAUACGGCCCAGACUCCAACGGGAGGCAGCAGUGGGGAAUAUUGCACAAUGGGCGCAAGCCUGAUGCAGCGACGCCGCGUGAGGGAUGACGGCCUUCGGGUUGUAAACCUCUUUCAGCAGGGACGAAGCGCAAGUGACGGUACCUGCAGAAGAAGGACCGGCCAACUACGUGCCAGCCGCCGCCGUAA
Molecule: ribosomal RNA, 478 nt
Filed under: uncultured bacterium
Lineage: Bacteria
Description: partial 16S ribosomal RNA
Rfam family: Bacterial small subunit ribosomal RNA
Source: RNAcentral